GUUCAAAGUACAUUUGCAACAGUCUGGGAGAACAACAUUGCAGGAGAUGGAAUGAGUGUUGUAAAGCAGCUGACAAUUGUUGCCAACACCAACUGAAAACACGUAUUUCUCCUCUAGAAAGAAACAUGUGCCCUCGUACAUGGGAUGGUCUUAAAUGCUUUGAUGAUACUGAUGCUGGAACUUCUGUUAAGUUUUCCUGCCCUGGAUACAUGAAAGAUGGCAAUAUGCAAGGUCAUGGUGUAAAGGACUGUACUGAAAGAGGCACCUGGGCAAUACUGCCGAUUUCCGGCAAAGAAUGGACCAAUUACACAGGGUGUAUGAAUAUACAGGUUGGUACAAGUCGUCCUGAUGUUUU
Long non-coding RNA from Ruditapes philippinarum (Manila clam), 355 nucleotides. RefSeq lists it as uncharacterized. Lineage: Eukaryota; Metazoa; Mollusca; Bivalvia; Venerida; Veneridae. The transcript has 3 exons. The record is from RefSeq and is a predicted model, not a curated record.